Molecule: non-coding RNA, 84 nt
Organism: Tephrocybe rancida
Lineage: Eukaryota; Fungi; Basidiomycota; Agaricomycetes; Agaricales; Lyophyllaceae
Source: the annotation of a GenBank genome assembly
UCCCUCUUAGCUCAGUGGUAGAGCGCGUCACUUGUAUUCUCACUGAAUAUGACGAGGUCAGUCGUUCAAGCCGGCUAGGGGGAA